CCUACGGGUGGCAGCAGUGAGGAAUAUUGGUCAAUGGACGAGAGUCUGAACCAGCCAAGUAGCGUGAAGGAUGACUGCCCUAUGGGUUGUAAACUUCUUUUAUAUGGGACUCAAAUGUUCCACGUGUGGGCUUUUGUAUGUACCAUAUGAAUAAGGAUCGGCUAACUCCGUGCCAGCAGCCGCGUUAAUACGGAGGUACCGAGCGUUAUCCGGAUUUAUUGGGUUUAAAGGGAGCGUGGGUGGAUUGUUAAGUCAGUUGUGAAAGUUUGCGGCUCAACCGUAAAAUUGCAGUUGAAACUGGCAGUCUUGAGUACAGUAGAGGUGGGCGGAAUUCGUGGUGUAGCGGUGAAAUGCUUAGAUAUCACGAAGAACUCCGAUUGCGAAGGCAGCUCACUGGACUGCAACUGACACUGAGGCUCGAAAGUGUGGGUAUCAAACAGGAUUAGAUACCCCAGUAGUC
Molecule: ribosomal RNA, 460 nt
Filed under: uncultured bacterium
Lineage: Bacteria
Description: partial 16S ribosomal RNA
Rfam family: Bacterial small subunit ribosomal RNA
Source: RNAcentral